GAUGAACGCUGGCGGCGUGCCUAAUACAUGCAAGUCGAGCGAACAGACGAGGAGUUUGCUCCUCUGACGUUAGCGGCGGACGGGUGAGUAACACGUGGAUAACCUACCUAUAAGACUGGGAUAACUUCGGGAAACCGGCGCUAAUACCGGAGAAUAUAUUGAACCGCAUGGUUCUAUAGUGAAAGACGGUUUUGCUGUCACUUCUCGAUGGAUCCGCGCGGGAUUAGCUUGUUGGUAAGGUAACGGCUUACCAAGGCGACGAGGCGUAGCCGGCCUGAGAGGGGGAUCGGCCACGCUGGAGCGGAGACACGGUCCAGACUCCAACGGGAGGCAGCAGUAGGGAAUCUGCCGCAAGGGGCGAAAGCCUGACGGAGCGACGCCGCGUGAGUGAUGAAGGUCUUCGGAUCGUAAAACUCUGUUAUUAGGGAAGAACAAAUGUGUAAGUAACUAUGCACGUCUUGACGGUACCUGAUCAGAAAGCCACGGCUAACUACGUG
RNAcentral lists this ribosomal RNA (497 nucleotides) under uncultured bacterium. Its description in RNAcentral is "partial 16S ribosomal RNA". It matches the Rfam family "Bacterial small subunit ribosomal RNA", at positions 28 to 507 of the family's 1533-position model. The record is from RNAcentral.